AGUAAAAGUCGUAACAAGGUCUCCGUAGGUGAACCUGCGGAGGGAUCAUUACUGAGUGAGGGCUCAAAGCCCGACCUCCAACCCUUUGUGAACCAAACUUGUUGCUUUGGGGGCGACCCCGCCGUUUCGGCGACGAGGCGCCCCCGGAGGCCUUUAAACACUGCAUCAAUGCGUCAGAGUUUUUUUAUACAAAUAAAACAAAACUUUCAACAACGGAUCUCUUGGUUCUGGCAUCGAUGAAGAACGCAGCGAAAUGCGAUAAGUAAUGUGAAUUGCAGAAUUCAGUGAAUCAUCGAAUCUUUGAACGCACAUUGCGCCCGCCAGUAUUCUGGCGGGCAUGCCUGUCUGAGCGUCAUUUCAACCCUCAUGCCCCUAGGGCGUGGUGUUGGGGAUCGGCCAAAGCCCGCGAGGGACGGCCGGCCCCUAAAUCUAGUGGCGGACCCGUCGUGGCCUCCUCUGCGAAGUAGUGAUAUUCCGCAUCGGAGAGCGAUGAGCCCCUGCCGUUAAACCCCCAACUUUCCAAGGUUGACCUCAGAUCAGGUAGGAAUACCCGCUGAACUUAAGCAUAUCAAUAAGCGGAGGA
RNAcentral lists this ribosomal RNA (583 nucleotides) under uncultured fungus. RNAcentral's name for it is "eukaryotic LSU rRNA". The stretch from base 202 to 355 matches the Rfam family "5.8S ribosomal RNA". Lineage: Eukaryota; Fungi. The record is from RNAcentral.